Molecule: ribosomal RNA, 118 nt
Filed under: Diaphorina citri (Asian citrus psyllid)
Lineage: Eukaryota; Metazoa; Arthropoda; Insecta; Hemiptera; Psyllidae
Source: RNAcentral
UAUAGCGGCGAGAGCACGUUGAAUGCCCGGGUCCCCAAUGGUUCACUGAAGGUAAGUAACGUUGCAAGUGGUUGGUAUUCGGAUGGGUGACCAUCUGGGCAAUCGCGGGCUGCUCACU